CCUACGGGAGGCAGCAGUGGGGAAUAUUGCGCAAUGGGCGAAAGCCUGACGCCGCGACGCCGCGUGAGGGAUGACGGUCUUCGGAUCGUUAACCUCUGUCAGCAGGGAAGAACGGUCACUGUGCUAAUCAGCAGUGAAUUGACGGUACCUGCAAAGGAAGCACCGGCUAAAUCCGUGCCAGCAGCCGCGGUAAUACGGUGGGUGCGAGCGUUAAUCGGAAUUACUGGGCGUAAAGCGCUCGUAGGCGGUCUGUCAAGUCAAGGGUGAAAUCCCCGCGCUCAACGUGGGAACUGCCUUUGAAACUGGCAAACUGGAGUGUGUGAGAGGAUAGUGGAAUUCCAGGUGUAGGAGUGAAAUCCGUAGAUAUCUGGAGGAACAUCAGUGGCGAAGGCGACUAUCUGGCACAUAACUGACGCUGAGGAGCGAAAGCGUGGGUAGCAAACAGGAUUAGAUACCCGAGUAGUC
This 465-nucleotide ribosomal RNA is filed under the name uncultured bacterium. RNAcentral describes it as "partial 16S ribosomal RNA". It matches the Rfam family "Bacterial small subunit ribosomal RNA", at positions 338 to 795 of the family's 1533-position model. The record is from RNAcentral.